Oryctolagus cuniculus (rabbit) is the source of this 504-nucleotide long non-coding RNA. RefSeq lists it as uncharacterized. The record is from RefSeq and is a predicted model, not a curated record. Lineage: Eukaryota; Metazoa; Chordata; Mammalia; Lagomorpha; Leporidae.
CCUCGCCUAGAAGAUGGGGCGUUGUCUGUGCGUUGCGCAGGCAGCGAGUCCCAGGCAGCCCUGCCCUCCGCCGGGCGAGCGGGGCCGGCGCCCGUCUCCCGGGGCCUAGCAGGGGGAGCGGUCCCCAGGCCUGGCCGUCCUAGGGGGAUCUGCGGGCGCAGGGAGAGAGAGAGCUUCCUUCGGGUGGUUCGCUCCGCAGGUGGCCAGGGCUGGGCCGGGCCGAAGCCAGCAGCCCAGUGCCAGGAACGCCAUCCGGGUGUCCUGUGUGAGUAGCAGGGACCCAGGGACCUGAGCCAUCAUCGGCCACGUUGCAGGUUGGGUGUUGACAGCCCAUCCCAUCUGUCCCUGGACCCAGACUUCCGGAUUAACCCGACCUAAAAGACCUUCUGGAAUGGUUUCAGGAUCCUUAGGUGCCUCAUGGAGGAGAGCCAAGAAUUCCUCGCCUGGCUGCUUGGGACUGAACACUUGUACUUGGCCUUGACUUAAAUACACAGUAGCAGUCGA